Molecule: ribosomal RNA, 497 nt
Filed under: uncultured bacterium
Lineage: Bacteria
Description: partial 16S ribosomal RNA
Rfam family: Bacterial small subunit ribosomal RNA
Source: RNAcentral
GAUGAACGCUGGCGGCGUGCCUAAUACAUGCAAGUCGAGCGAACGGACGAGAAGCUUGCUUCUCUGAUGUUAGCGGCGGACGGGUGAGUAACACGUGGAUAACCUACCUAUAAGACUGGGAUAACUUCGGGAAACCGUAGCUAAUACCGGAUAAUAUUUUGAACCGCAUGGUUCAAAAGUGAAAGACGGCCUUGCUGUCACUUAUAGAUGGAUCCGCGCUGCAUUAGCUAGUUGGUAAGGUAACGGCUUACCAAGGCAACGAUGCAUAGCCGACCUGAGAGGGUGAUCGGCCACACUGGAACUGAGACACGGUCCAGACUCCUACGGGAGGCAGCAGUAGGGAAUCUUCCGCAAUGUGCGAAAGCCUGACGGAGCAACGCCGCGUGAGUGAUGAAGGUCUUCGGAUCGUAAAACUCUGUUAUUAGGGAAGAACAUAUGUGUAAGUAACUGUGCACAUCUUGACGGUACCUAAUCAGAAAGCCACGGCUAACUACGUG